AACGCGAAGAACCUUACCCAGGCUUGAACAGCGAGUGACCAUCGAUGAAAGUCGACUUCCGCAAGGACACUCGUAGAGGUGCUGCAUGGCUGUCGUCAGCUCGUGUCGUGAGAUGUUGGGUUAAGUCCCGCAACGAGCGCAACCCUUGUUUGCUGUUGCCAUCAGGUUAAGCUGGGCACUCUGCAAAGACUGCCGGUGAUAAACCGGAGGAAGGUGGGGAUGACGUCAAGUCAGCAUGGCCUUUAUGUCUGGGGCUACACACGUGCUACAAUGGCCGAUACAAACCGUCGCGAGCCCGCAAGGGGGAGCUAAUCGGAGAAAGUCGGUCUCAGUUCGGAUCGUCGGCUGCAACUCGCCGGCGUGAAGUUGGAAUCGCUAGUAAUCGCGGAUCAGCACGCCGCGGUGAAUACGUUCCCGGGCCUUGUACACACCGGACACGC
This 440-nucleotide ribosomal RNA is filed under the name uncultured bacterium. RNAcentral describes it as "bacterial SSU rRNA". It matches the Rfam family "Bacterial small subunit ribosomal RNA", at positions 958 to 1402 of the family's 1533-position model. The record is from RNAcentral.